UUAAGCGACUAAGCGUACACGGUGGAUGCCCUGGCAGUCAGAGGCGAUGAAGGACGUGCUAAUCUGCGAUAAGCGUCGGUAAGGUGAUAUGAACCGUUAUAACCGGCGAUUUCCGAAUGGGGAAACCCAGUGUGUUUCGACACACUAUCAUUAACUGAAUCCAUAGGUUAAUGAGGCGAACCGGGGGAACUGAAACAUCUAAGUACCCCGAGGAAAAGAAAUCAACCGAGAUUCCCCCAGUAGCGGCGAGCGAACGGGGAGGAGCCCAGAGCCUGAAUCAGUGUGUGUGUUAGUGGAAGCGUCUGGAAAGGCGCGCGAUACAGGGUGACAGCCCCGUACACAAAAAUGCACAUAUUGUGAGCUCGAUGAGUAGGGCGGGACACGUGGUAUCCUGUCUGAAUAUGGGGGGACCAUCCUCCAAGGCUAAAUACUCCUGACUGACCGAUAGUGAACCAGUACCGUGAGGGAAAGGCGAAAAGAACCCCGGCGAGGGGAGUGAAAAAGAACCUGAAACCGUGUACGUACAAGCAGUGGGAGCCUCUUUUAUGGGGUGACUGCGUACCUUUUGUAUAAUGGGUCAGCGACUUAUAUUCUGUAGCAAGGUUAACCGAAUAGGGGAGCCGAAGGGAAACCGAGUCUUAACUGGGCGUUAAGUUGCAGGGUAUAGACCCGAAACCCGGUGAUCUAGCCAUGGGCAGGUUGAAGGUUGGGUAACACUAACUGGAGGACCGAACCGACUAAUGUUGAAAAAUUAGCGGAUGACUUGUGGCUGGGGGUGAAAGGCCAAUCAAACCGGGAGAUAGCUGGUUCUCCCCGAAAGCUAUUUAGGUAGCGCCUCGUGAAUUCAUCUCCGGGGGUAGAGCACUGUUUCGGCAAGGGGGUCAUCCCGACUUACCAACCCGAUGCAAACUGCGAAUACCGGAGAAUGUUAUCACGGGAGACACACGGCGGGUGCUAACGUCCGUCGUGAAGAGGGAAACAACCCAGACCGCCAGCUAAGGUCCCAAAGUCAUGGUUAAGUGGGAAACGAUGUGGGAAGGCCCAGACAGCCAGGAUGUUGGCUUAGAAGCAGCCAUCAUUUAAAGAAAGCGUAAUAGCUCACUGGUCGAGUCGGCCUGCGCGGAAGAUGUAACGGGGCUAAACCAUGCACCGAAGCUGCGGCAGCGACACUAUGUGUUGUUGGGUAGGGGAGCGUUCUGUAAGCCUGUGAAGGUGUACUGUGAGGUAUGCUGGAGGUAUCAGAAGUGCGAAUGCUGACAUAAGUAACGAUAAAGCGGGUGAAAAGCCCGCUCGCCGGAAGACCAAGGGUUCCUGUCCAACGUUAAUCGGGGCAGGGUGAGUCGACCCCUAAGGCGAGGCCGAAAGGCGUAGUCGAUGGGAAACAGGUUAAUAUUCCUGUACUUGGUGUUACUGCGAAGGGGGGACGGAGAAGGCUAUGUUGGCCGGGCGACGGUUGUCCCGGUUUAAGCGUGUAGGCUGGUUUUCCAGGCAAAUCCGGAAAAUCAAGGCUGAGGCGUGAUGACGAGGCACUACGGUGCUGAAGCAACAAAUGCCCUGCUUCCAGGAAAAGCCUCUAAGCAUCAGGUAACAUCAAAUCGUACCCCAAACCGACACAGGUGGUCAGGUAGAGAAUACCAAGGCGCUUGAGAGAACUCGGGUGAAGGAACUAGGCAAAAUGGUGCCGUAACUUCGGGAGAAGGCACGCUGAUAUGUAGGUGAAGUCCCUCGCGGAUGGAGCUGAAAUCAGUCGAAGAUACCAGCUGGCUGCAACUGUUUAUUAAAAACACAGCACUGUGCAAACACGAAAGUGGACGUAUACGGUGUGACGCCUGCCCGGUGCCGGAAGGUUAAUUGAUGGGGUCAGCGCAAGCGAAGCUCUUGAUCGAAGCCCCGGUAAACGGCGGCCGUAACUAUAACGGUCCUAAGGUAGCGAAAUUCCUUGUCGGGUAAGUUCCGACCUGCACGAAUGGCGUAAUGAUGGCCAGGCUGUCUCCACCCGAGACUCAGUGAAAUUGAACUCGCUGUGAAGAUGCAGUGUACCCGCGGCAAGACGGAAAGACCCCGUGAACCUUUACUAUAGCUUGACACUGAACAUUGAGCCUUGAUGUGUAGGAUAGGUGGGAGGCUUAGAAGUGUGGACGCCAGUCUGCAUGGAGCCGACCUUGAAAUACCACCCUUUAAUGUUUGAUGUUCUAACGUUGACCCGUGAUCCGGGUUGCGGACAGUGUCUGGUGGGUAGUUUGACUGGGGCGGUCUCCUCCUAAAGAGUAACGGAGGAGCACGAAGGUUGGCUAAUCCUGGUCGGACAUCAGGAGGUUAGUGCAAUGGCAUAAGCCAGCUUGACUGCGAGCGUGACGGCGCGAGCAGGUGCGAAAGCAGGUCAUAGUGAUCCGGUGGUUCUGAAUGGAAGGGCCAUCGCUCAACGGAUAAAAGGUACUCCGGGGAUAACAGGCUGAUACCGCCCAAGAGUUCAUAUCGACGGCGGUGUUUGGCACCUCGAUGUCGGCUCAUCACAUCCUGGGGCUGAAGUAGGUCCCAAGGGUAUGGCUGUUCGCCAUUUAAAGUGGUACGCGAGCUGGGUUUAGAACGUCGUGAGACAGUUCGGUCCCUAUCUGCCGUGGGCGCUGGAGAACUGAGGGGGGCUGCUCCUAGUACGAGAGGACCGGAGUGGACGCAUCACUGGUGUUCGGGUUGUCAUGCCAAUGGCACUGCCCGGUAGCUAAAUGCGGAAGAGAUAAGUGCUGAAAGCAUCUAAGCACGAAACUUGCCCCGAGAUGAGUUCUCCCUGACUCCUUGAGAGUCCUGAAGGAACGUUGAAGACGACGACGUUGAUAGGCCGGGUGUGUAAGCGCAGCGAUGCGUUGAGCUAACCGGUACUAAUGAACCGUGAGGCUUAACCUU
This 2901-nucleotide ribosomal RNA is filed under the name Escherichia coli. Its description in RNAcentral is "bacterial LSU rRNA". It matches the Rfam family "Bacterial large subunit ribosomal RNA". Lineage: Bacteria; Pseudomonadati; Pseudomonadota; Gammaproteobacteria; Enterobacterales; Enterobacteriaceae. The record is from RNAcentral.